UCCAGACUCCUACGGGAGGCAGCAGUGGGGGAUAUUGGACAAUGGGGGGAACCCUGAUCCAGCGACGCCGCGUGAGUGAAGAAGUAUCUCGGUAUGUAAAGCUCUAUCAGCAGGGAAGAAGAAAUGACGGUACCUGAGUAAGAACCCCCGGCUAACUACGUGCCAGCAGCCGCGGGAAUACGUAGGGGGCAAGCGUUAUCCGGAAUUACCGGGUGUAAAGGGAGCGUAGACGGUGAUGUAAGUCUGGAGUGAAAGGCGGGGGCCCAACCCCCGGACUGCUCUGGAAACUGUAUAGCUGGAGUGCAGGAGAGGUAAGUGGAAUUCCUAGUGUAGCGGUGAAAUGCGUAGAUAUUAGGAGGAACACCAGUGGCGAAGGCGGCUUACUGGACUGUAACUGACGUUGAGGCUCGAAAGCGUGGGGAGCAAACAGGAUUAGAUACCCCUGUA
RNAcentral lists this ribosomal RNA (447 nucleotides) under uncultured bacterium. Its description in RNAcentral is "bacterial SSU rRNA". It matches the Rfam family "Bacterial small subunit ribosomal RNA", at positions 330 to 792 of the family's 1533-position model. The record is from RNAcentral.